Molecule: ribosomal RNA, 346 nt
Filed under: uncultured eukaryote
Lineage: Eukaryota
Description: SSU rRNA
Rfam family: Eukaryotic small subunit ribosomal RNA
Source: RNAcentral
AUAGCGUAUAUUAAAGUUGUUGCAGUUAAAAAGCUCGUAGUUGAACCUUGGGCUUGGUUGGUCGGUCCGCCUCACCGCGUGCAUUGAUCCGACCGAAUCUUUCCUUCUGGGGAACCGUAUGCCCUUCACUGGGUGUGCUGGGGAACCAGGACUUUUACUUUGAAAAAAUUAGAGUGUUCAAAGCAGGCCUAUGCUCGAAUACAUUAGCAUGGAAUAAUAGAAUAGGACGUGUGUUUCUAUUUUGUUGGUUUCUAGAUCCGCCGUAAUGAUUAAUAGGGAUAGUCGGGGGCAUCAGUAUUCAAUUGUCAGAGGUGAAAUUCUUGGAUUUAUUGAAGACUAACUACUG